GUUCACAGAUUCUGGCUGAUGAUGUCAUGACACAGAAGAAAAUGCAAAACAGGCAGCCUUACAUCAGCUUCCUGGUGAGCAUCACACUUGUGGCUGAGGUCUGAGACCAGCUGCGUUUUGGCCAUGGCUUUGCAGAGCGUUCUGGAAGCACUGUGGCUGGAGCUCCUCCUCAGCUCUCUCUGGAAUGUUGCAGAGAGCAAGGACCGAGUAUUUCAGCCUUCCACUGUGGUCUCUUCGGAGGGUGCUCUGGCAGAAAUCUCCUGUAAUCACUCUAUAUCCAAUGCUUACAACUUCUUCUGGUACCUUCACUUCCCAGGAUGUGCACCAAGACUCCUUGUUAAGGGCUCAAGGCCUUCUCAGCAGGGACGGUACAACAUGACAUAUGAGCGGUUCUCUUCAUCACUGCUUAUCCUCCAGGUGCAGAUGGCAGAUGCAGCCAUUUACUACUGUGCUCUGGAAGACACAGAGGCAGGAAAUCCAUGAAGAGCUGAACAGAAACAAGGAGAGAUCACAGCCUUUGCAGGGGGUGGAAAAAAGAUGAGCAAUAACUGUUCACCCCACUACCCCCAAUUCAACGUUCUCCAAGCUUUUCCAUUUGGCACUAUCAGAAAAAACAUUUGAGUCCAGACACACUAUAUAUUAGUAAAGGUACAUAGGGAAAUAUGUUUUUAAGGAGUGUUUCAUUAAUGGUCUGUAAAUCUACGUUUUAAAUAGUUUACUUUUUAAAAAAAUAAAU
Non-coding RNA from Delphinapterus leucas (beluga whale), 736 nucleotides. Lineage: Eukaryota; Metazoa; Chordata; Mammalia; Artiodactyla; Monodontidae. The record is from the annotation of a RefSeq genome assembly.